CCACAAGAUAGAGGUGCGAAUGAGACGACGCUGCGGAAGCCGACAGGCGAUGAACGCAACGGAAGUGAUUUCGCCGAACUGAAACGGCAGGUAUGCCGUUUUGGUGGGCCCGGGGAAAACAUCUCCGGAACUGUCCGCGGGAAACCGCGGGGGCGCUAUCUGCUCA
This 166-nucleotide non-coding RNA is filed under the name Oscillibacter valericigenes. RNAcentral describes it as "Lysine sequence". It matches the Rfam family "Lysine riboswitch aptamer". Rfam says of the family: Riboswitches are metabolite binding domains within certain messenger RNAs that serve as precision sensors for their corresponding targets. Lineage: Bacteria; Bacillati; Bacillota; Clostridia; Eubacteriales; Oscillospiraceae. The record is from RNAcentral.